This 390-nucleotide ribosomal RNA is filed under the name uncultured bacterium. RNAcentral describes it as "bacterial SSU rRNA". It matches the Rfam family "Bacterial small subunit ribosomal RNA", at positions 28 to 420 of the family's 1533-position model. The record is from RNAcentral.
GACGAACGCUGGCGGCGUGCUUAACACAUGCAAGUCGAGCGGUAAGGCCCUUUCGGGGGUACACGAGCGGCGAACGGGUGAGUAACACGUGGGUGACCUGCCCUCAGCUCUGGGAUAAGCCUGGGAAACCGGGUCUAAUACUGGAUAUGACUCCAUGACGCAUGUUGUGGGGUGGAAAGCCUUGUGCGGCUGAGGAUGGGCCCGNGGCCUAUCAGCUUGUUGGNGGGGUGANGGCCUAUCAAGGCGACGACGGGUAGCCGGCCUGAGAGGCGACCGGCCACACUGGGACUGAGACACGGCCCAGACUCCUACGGGAGGCAGCAGUGGGGAAUCUUGCGCAAUGGGCGAAAGCCUGACGCAGCGACGCCGCGUGAGGGAUGACGGCCUGGU